Molecule: long non-coding RNA, 583 nt
Filed under: Phoenix dactylifera (date palm)
Lineage: Eukaryota; Viridiplantae; Streptophyta; Magnoliopsida; Arecales; Arecaceae
Description: long non-coding RNA (PDAC_LNC012216)
Source: RNAcentral
GCCAAGUGUGAAUUGAUUCCACUUGAGCAUAUUGAUUGAUAUUGUAGUAGAUUUCUCUAUAAUCUUGAUUCUCUAUGCUUGAUUAUUCUGUACAUGCAUUUGAGGGAACAUUGAGAGGAAUUACGAGGGGUUGAUGAGUAAUCAAAUUGAUUCCGAAUUGUGAAAUGAUUUCUUUUGUAAAUUGAUUUCAUUUCCUCUAUUUCAAAGACUUGUGAGUGGUAGCCUUGAUUAUACUCUUUUAUGAGUAGUUAAAUUGGAUCUGAAUUGUGAAAUGAUUUCUUUUGUAAAUUGAUUUCAUUUCCUCUAUUUCAAAGACUUGUAAGUGGUAGCCUUGAUUAUACUCCUUUAUGAGUAAUUAAAUUGGAUCUGAAUUGUGAAAUGACUUCUUUUGUAAAUUGAUUUCAUUUCCUCUAUUUCAAAGAUUUGUAGAGCCCAUUUCAGUGGUAUAUUGAGUUGUAUUGCACUUCCUUGACCCUCACUCCUAACCCUGAUGUUAGUUUAUGAUUGGGUCAUGAUCGAGUGAGUGGUAGUCUUGAUCAUACUCCUUUUUAGUAGAGUAUUGGGAGGGUGCAUUAUGGCAUUU